UAUUUUUAAAUGUUCUAAGGGAUGGAGAUGGAUGUCUCAAUGACCCUCGAGUAAAAUGCAUUUUGAACUAUUUGUUCAUAAUGCAAAAGUUGGAUGAUGGCCUUCAAUGCAAUUUUCAUACGAAAUUGUAAUCAUAUGAUUUAAGGGAUGGUAAUUGUAUCUAUUCUCCUUUUAAGACCCUAAUUGUGAAACUGUUGCUGAGAUGAAGGGUGGUGUGGUAUACAUGUGCCCACUAUGGCCCAAAAAUGUUGGAUGAUGCCUUAAUUCGAAAGCUAGUUGUUGCCUAAAAUGCAAUUAAGACCCUAAUUGUGAAACUGUCGCUGAGAUGAAGGGUGGUGUGGUAUACAUGUGCCCACUAUGGCCCAAAAACGUUGGAUGAUGCCUUAAUUCGAAAGCUAGUUGUUGCCUAAAAUGCAAUUUUAAUAUGAAAUUUUAUUCAUAAUUUAAGGCUUGGAUGAUAUCUAUUGUUGAUGACCCUAGUCCUUAAAUGCUAUUUACAACAACAAUAUGAAGUGAUUUUGCAAAUGCAAAAUGCAAUGCGACUUGUGUUGGAUUAGCCUACUGGUAACGGUUUCAAAGGAAUGGGAAUGGAACUGUAAAUGUGUUUAGUACUCAGUGCUAACUUUUUCAAUUGGGGAUGGACAUUGGAUUUACCCUAUUUGUUAUUGUUGGAUGGUCUUAACUGUAUUUGGGCAGUAUCAAAUCUCAGUGGGAUCACAAAGGGAGGAUAUUUCCAGAAAGCAUUAUUUGGUGGAAAAUGUAUCUGUCAUAUGUUUUUGACUGCACACUUAUUAUGAAAGUCUCAAGCAUUAUAUUUUUCUUGAUUAAACCCACCACAGAGCCCUCUUCUAGGUUAAAUGGAGGUCCUUGCUGUUCUUCAGUUGGACACGGAGCUUUUGCUGAACAUGGUCCUUUCAAGCCUACAAGAAAAGACCAUCUUAUGAAAAACCAACUUGCACAGCUAAUCCUUCAAACCAAAUCCACCAAGAUUAGCUUGAAGAAGAUACCUCAGACAAACUUGCUGCGAUGACCGAUGACAGUUCUUUCGGAAUGUAGCAGGUGUUUCUUGCAUAAGUACUGUGACUUUUGUGGCCAGGAAAAAAUGAAGACAUUGAGGAUUGGCAUACAAGUGGUAACACCAGCAUACAUAGGAUUAAAGUUCAUAGCAGAUUGCCAUCCCCUUUCAACUGCCUUUUCUAUAACUUAAUGCACAUGGAUUGAACUCAACUUUAUGUCUGUUGUUGCUAGUCACCGUGGUAAUCUUCAGCUUACUGCUGCUAACCUUGGCAAGAGAGGAAUUCAGCUCUUCCCUUAUGGCCAAAUGGUAAUGCUAGCUACUAUUACUUACACCUAUAACAUGGGAAUUGAACUAUAAACGUGUUUACUGUUUCGUACUCAGUGUACUAUCUUUUCCAAUUGAGGUUGGGCAUGAGGAAUACCCUAUUUGUUAUUGUUGAUGGUCUUGGCUGUAUUUGGGAAGUAUCAAAUUCUCAGUGGUAUCACAAAGGGAGGAUGUAUCUGUCAAUGUUUUUGACUGCAGCCUUAUUAUGAAAUAUAAUCUGAUUAAUCUUUUUUUUUUUUUUGACUAUGAAAUCUGAUAAAAUGAUGGUGUGUGAUCAAUGGAUAAAAUUUGGCGGACACUAGUAUAACGAUCAGAGAACACUAGAUUUGUGUUGAGAAUUGUAAAUGCAAGUCUUGGAUUUAGUAACUGGAUAUAUGUGAGCUCUUAUAAGUGGAUACAAAAAUUGCAAUUGAUGAAUUAUGUAGGUGGUGCAACAUAUAAACUUGUGAUGAACUUUGUUUUGGAAAAUUUUUUGUAUGACAGUUCUUGCAAUUCUAGUGUGACAUUAUGGCCAGGCUACCAACUCCUUAUUGCAUAAUUAUUAGGAAAAUUCACAUUCUUUUAAUAGUUUUGGUUUCAUGGCUGUGUUUUUUUGCAGUGAGAAUGCUCCUUAACGUGCGUCGUGCCCGAAGCUACAUUUUGUAGCUUUUAUAAAUCACGGUAGAAAUUUUCUUGGGAAGCGUAAAAUGAGAUUAGAAUGUGUAUCCAAACAUAUUGUUCAUCUUUCAAAAUUAAGAUAGGGGCGUUUGCUAAUUUUUUAAAAUGACAAUGUCUAAAUUGUCUGCAUAACUAGGACAUGAGAAUGUGAUUACUAUCUUUUGGUGUAGAUUCAUAUUCACAAGACCAUAUUUUAUAAGUAAAUACUUCUCUGCAAAUUGAUAUCCUGUUGUGUUUAAUAUUCUCUAAUAUAGAGGAGCUAUGUAUUUCCAAGGGUUUUCUGAAGAUGACCUAUUUAAUAGUUAUUAAAUAUUGGUUGAAAGGAUUGUUCUUGUUGAGCCUACAAGUUGUAACACCAGAUAGGAUUGACAUUCAUAGCGAACAU
Long non-coding RNA from Trifolium pratense (red clover), 2384 nucleotides. RefSeq lists it as uncharacterized. The record is from RefSeq and is a predicted model, not a curated record. The transcript is spliced from 5 exons. Lineage: Eukaryota; Viridiplantae; Streptophyta; Magnoliopsida; Fabales; Fabaceae.